UACGAAGGGGGCUAGCGUUGCUCGGAAUCACUGGGCGUAAAGGGCGCGUAGGCGGCGUUUUAAGUCGGGGGCGAAAGCCUGUGGCUCAACCACAGAAUGGCCUUCGAUACUGGGACGCUUGAGUAUGGUAGAGGUUGGUGGAACUGCGAGUGUAGAGGUGAAAUUCGUAGAUAUUCGCAAGAACACCGGUGGCGAAGGCGGCCAACUGGACCAUUACUGACGCUGAGGCGCGAAAGCGUGGGGAGCAAACAGG
Molecule: ribosomal RNA, 253 nt
Filed under: uncultured bacterium
Lineage: Bacteria
Description: partial 16S ribosomal RNA
Rfam family: Bacterial small subunit ribosomal RNA
Source: RNAcentral